Long non-coding RNA from Astatotilapia calliptera (eastern happy), 1178 nucleotides. Lineage: Eukaryota; Metazoa; Chordata; Actinopteri; Cichliformes; Cichlidae. The record is from Ensembl.
GCCAUUAAGUCUGUUUUGAGUCUGCUCUGUGGCUACACAAAAGUAUGAAUGUUUUUAAAACUUACAUUUGAGCUUAAAUAUCCUUUUUUUUGUUGGUUGGUUAGUUAGACCUUAGUUUCUUCUUUGGAUUUAGAGAGAAGGUGAAAAUAUUUACAUUUUAGAAAGUGGCUCAUACACAACAAACCAUGUGAUCAUUAAAUCAGAUGUAGAAAGAUUUUUUUUUCAGUUAAAGAAAUCACAUUAAUAUAUAAUAACAACAGAAUAAAUGAUGGAUAUUAGACUCAGACGAUUAAAAAAAUUGGAUGAACUUAUAGCUCAUAAAAAUGUAACUCUUAGAUACGGAGAGAUGAAAUCAAGGUUAAAGAACCUGUAGAGGGUGGUGUUGCUCUACACUGAGUCCAAAGUGGAUUCCAAACAACAGGAAGAGACAGGAUGACACAUCAACCUUCUUAAAGUUAUGUUUUAUAGUCACGUGACUUGUUUUCUGCAUGACUGUCUGUAACCUUGUGCAGGAAAGCCCAGAGUUUCAGAGACAUGACACCAUGUUUGUGUGCAUGUGUACAAGAAAAAAAUGGGAAGGGUAUCGGCUUUCUAAAGCUAAAGUGAGAUGCAGCUAUGAGAGUGUCAGUGAAGUGGCAAGAUGAGGAAGGUUGACAAGGCUACUAGAGCAGAGAGUGACGUUUUUAAAAAAAAAAAAAAAAAAAAAAGCAAAAUUUGUAUUCUGCUGCUUUGUAGCCAGAGGUUUUUGCCACACAAGGCUCCAAACAAAUGAACCGACAGUCUAAACCUGUGUUACAUGAGACCUCUUGGAUGAUGUGGCCAAAAGCUUGGCAGCAGAAUUUGGACAAAGCAUUGCCAAGGCAGAGGACAGGGUAUUGCAAAUUUGGAGUAAAACUUGUCUAAAACAGGCCUCUAUUGUAAAUGAGACAUUGAGUCUCAAUGGAAUUGCCUGUAUAAGAAUAGGUUAAACAAUACAAUAAAAACAAAGUUAUCUCACCUGAGUGUGAAUAUAGCAAUAUCCCUUUCCUGGCAAUCUUAAAGACAUAAAGACCUGGAUGGCCGCUAACUUUCUGCUUCUUAAUUCAGAUAAGACUGAGGUUAUUGUACUCGGCCCUGAAAAUCUUAGAAAUAUGGUAUCUAACCAGAUUCUUACUCUGGAUGGCGUUACCUUGGCCUCC